AUGAAUGGAUGCCCCCCAACCGUGGUUCACCUAGCAAAGUGCGAAGUAGCUAGCUGCCCCCCUCGUGUCAACACGAAGGGAAUCCUAAGCUAUGAAUGCGCCCCCCAACCGAGUUCAAAGAAAGAAAUUGCGCCCAACGGUUUGUGGAGGCGCUCAACAACUACGCGGCGCUGUUCGGCUGCCUGGAGAUGGGCAUGGCGCACGGGCCCGUGGAGCGUGCGCGUCCAGCGGUGGCUCCUCGGCGAGGAGAUCAAGAACAUCAUGGCCUGCGACAACGCGGAGCGCCGCGAGCGGCACGAGCGGUUGGACCGCUGGGUGGCGCGCAUGGAGGGCGCCGACUUAGGGCGCGUCCUGCUGAGCUAA
Molecule: ribosomal RNA, 363 nt
Filed under: Triticum aestivum (bread wheat)
Lineage: Eukaryota; Viridiplantae; Streptophyta; Magnoliopsida; Poales; Poaceae
Description: partial small subunit ribosomal RNA
Source: RNAcentral